CCUACGGGUGGCAGCAGUAGGGAAUCUUCCACAAUGGACGAAAGUCUGAUGGAGCAACGCCGCGUGAGUGAAGAAGGGUUUCGGCUCGUAAAGCGCUGUUGGUAGUGAAGAAAGAUAGAGGUAGUAACUGGCCUUUAUUUGACGGUAAUUACUUAGAAAGUCACGGCUAACUACAUACCAGCAGCCGCGGUAAUACGUAGGUGGCAAGCGUUGUACGGAUUUAGUGGGCGUAAAGCGAGUGCAGGCGGUUCAAUAAGUCUGAUGGGAAAGCCUUCGGCUCAACCGGAGAAUUGCAUCAGAAACUGUUGAACUUGAGUGCAGAAGAGGAGAGUGGAACUCCAUGUGUAGCGGUGGAAUGCGUAGAUAUAUGGAAGAACACCAGUGGCGAAGGCGGCUCUCUGGUCUGCAACUGACGCUGAGGCUCGAAAGCAUGGGUAGCGAACAGGAUUAGAUACCCUUGUAGUC
This 465-nucleotide ribosomal RNA is filed under the name uncultured bacterium. RNAcentral describes it as "partial 16S ribosomal RNA". It matches the Rfam family "Bacterial small subunit ribosomal RNA", at positions 338 to 795 of the family's 1533-position model. The record is from RNAcentral.